This is a long non-coding RNA of Carassius auratus (goldfish), 1331 nucleotides long. RefSeq lists it as uncharacterized. The record is from RefSeq and is a predicted model, not a curated record. NCBI's taxonomy places the organism in Eukaryota, Metazoa, Chordata, Actinopteri, Cypriniformes, Cyprinidae. The transcript has 3 exons.
ACAGCAAGCCAACAUUGAAUAAACAUUGUUUUUCCAUCUGAAUCAUCAUUAUGGUUGAUAUUGAAAUUUCAAUGCAAAAUAAAUGUUGAAUCACCAUUAUCAUAUCGAUGAAAACCUGAUGUUAUUAAUGUUGAUGGCAACAAUAUUGGAACAACAUUGAUCCAUAGUUAUCUUUAUGAUUGAUUAAGCAUUGAUAUUUGGUUACCGGGUGAUCCCUGAAUGUGUUGAAAAGUAAUUGAUUUAUAGUGGACAGAGAAACGAUGCGGUUGUUGAAAAGUCAUCGAAAUAUAGUUGACCGGGAAAUAUGAUAGAAAAUGCAUCGAAAUAUAGUUGACCGGGAAAUAUGAUAGAAAAUACAUCGAAAUAUAGUUGACCGGGAAAUAUGAUUGAAAAUCCAUCGAUUUUUGGUUGACCGGGAGAUCAACGGGUGGUAUACCCAACGUACUGCACCGGACACAGCUCAUUUCUGGACCCUUGGCACAAGUACAGGUAAGCUUGCUUAAUGUUCGAUAUGAACCCAGACAGCACAGGCACGCGGUGUGUUUUUAUACAGUCUGUGGGCAGCUGAAGAGACUGGCUCAUUUUCAAAUAAUGUUACCGUUAACUUGUUUAGACAACGGUCACGGUAAAUUAAUAUUAAAGCCUUUCGUGUCCAGCAGUUUCUCGGAGGGAAAAUGUAAAAGCAGUUUAUUAAAGAGAAGUCCUGACUGCUUUAUCGUCGUGUUUUUCACUCUUUUACAGGCUGCCAGAAAGAAUCUACUAUAUUCUACUAUAUUAAUCUUACUAUAGUGAGUGAUUAUUGAAUGAGGCUGUACAUUAUAAAUGUAAUGUUUUAACUCUAGAUGUUUGUUUGUGUGAAUGCUGUGUGUGCGGUGAGUUCUGCGCGAGGAGCAGAGUUGCCAUGAAAACGGGGCGUCAACACAAAAAACGUUACUGGCAAGCAGUAAUCUCCGUCUCUCGCUGCGGUUUACGCUGUUUUAGAAAUGGUUUAGUGUCUUCGAAAAAGUCCGUUAGCAUCUAUCUUAGCAGUUUUCAGAAAAGGCUGAUUUACUGAAUCGAUGACGUCACUUACACUGAGAGUGUAACGUUAAUCGGCUGAAAACAAGUUCACAUGAGUUUUGAUAUUUCAUGAUAAACAGAUAUUAAUACAAAUUGUUCUGUGAUUUCAGGUGGACAGAAAGAAACUAUACAGAACAAAGUGAAACUCCAAGAUUUUUGAAAAGAAAAUUGGUGAAAUAUAUUCUGAAAAAGGCAUAUUAAUGUAUUUCAUGAGCUUCUUCAGUAAAUCUGUAUUUCUAAGUCAGUAUCUCCCUUCAGAAAUGUGGCUGAAG